Molecule: ribosomal RNA, 169 nt
Filed under: Teratosphaeria considenianae
Lineage: Eukaryota; Fungi; Ascomycota; Dothideomycetes; Mycosphaerellales; Teratosphaeriaceae
Description: partial 18S ribosomal RNA
Rfam family: Eukaryotic small subunit ribosomal RNA
Source: RNAcentral
ACACACCGCCCGUCGCUACUACCGAUUGAAUGGCUCAGUGAGGCGUCCGGACUGGCCCAGGGAGGUCGGCAACGACCACCCAGGGCCGGAAAGUUCGUCAAACUUGGUCAUUUAGAGGAAGUAAAAGUCGUAACAAGGUCUCCGUAGGUGAACCUGCGGAGGGAUCAUU